AUUUGGAAGCAUAAGGGUUAGAAUCCCCAUUUCACUCCUUUCACACCCAUUUGCUGCCAAAUUCCUCAAGAAUUUCCCUAAUUUUUCUCAAUCUUUAUCAAUUUUUUGCCAAAUUUGCUCAAGAAUUUGGUCAAAAAUUAUAUUCUCUCAUAUUUUCCUCAAGAAUUUGCUCAUUUUCCUUAAUUUGCUAAAUUUUCUCUCUCUGUUCAGUCAUGAAACAAAGAUAAUUUCCCCAUUUUUCUCAUUUUGCUCUCUCCGCACACCUCAUUGCUGGAUAAUUUCUCUCAUAUUUGCUGGUUUAGAGAUAAUUUCUCCAAGUCGUUGCAUUUGUGGAUUCAGUAAAAGGAUUUAUGCUAUUAUUAUUUUUUUCCAUGAGGUAACUUCAUGCCAUCAGUAAGAGAUAUGAGUAUCAAAUAAAUCUUGUCGAAUAUUGGAUCUUGACAUCCUAGUAAUCUCAAUCAUUUUUAAUCUCUACAUUGUCUAUUCCUUUACCAACAAAAUCAACUUCUACACUAGCAGUUAUCGGGAGAAACAAUCAGAACAGUCAAGGUGAUUAUGACAUAGAAGAUGGUGGGAAUGAAAUUGAUGAACUAGAUCUGACCUAAGAGAUCGAUCACAUAAUUGGCUUCAUGUUACGCUAGCUAUGUUGGAAAAUUCGACCAAGUUUCAAACAAUGAACAUUCAAAACUUGUACAUUUUGUGUUUUUUAAUGGUCAUAAAAAUAUUUGGUUUCUUAGUUGUGAUCAUUUUGGGAGUUAAUAGUUACUGUUACCUUUGUUACUUUGGUGAUUAAUAUGUACAUUUUAUAUG
Molecule: long non-coding RNA, 810 nt
Organism: Capsicum annuum
Lineage: Eukaryota; Viridiplantae; Streptophyta; Magnoliopsida; Solanales; Solanaceae
Exons: 3
Source: RefSeq, a predicted model, not a curated record